ACAGCAGCAGCCGCGGUAAUACAGAGGGUGCAAGCGUUAAUCGGAAUUACUGGGCGUAAAGCGCGCGUAGGUGGUUUGUUAAGUUGGAUGUGAAAGCCCCGGGCUCAACCUGGGAACUGCAUCCAAAACUGGCAAGCUAGAGUACGGUAGAGGGUGGUGGAAUUUCCUGUGUAGCGGUGAAAUGCGUAGAUAUAGGAAGGAACACCAGUGGCGAAGGCGACCACCUGGACUGAUACUGACACUGAGGUGCGAAAGCGUGGGGAGCAAACAGGAUUAGAUACCCGCGUAGUCCCUGUCUCUUAUAC
Molecule: ribosomal RNA, 305 nt
Filed under: uncultured bacterium
Lineage: Bacteria
Description: partial 16S ribosomal RNA
Rfam family: Bacterial small subunit ribosomal RNA
Source: RNAcentral